UCAGUUAGGUAGAGCACCUCGUUUACACGAGCGCCAAUGACGGUUCGAGUCCGUAUAGCCCUAAUAUUCCUACG
RNAcentral lists this transfer RNA (74 nucleotides) under Hylodesmum podocarpum. RNAcentral's name for it is "tRNA-Val". The record is from RNAcentral. Lineage: Eukaryota; Viridiplantae; Streptophyta; Magnoliopsida; Fabales; Fabaceae.